ACAUGCCUAUAUCAUAGCGUUAAUGCAUUGGAUCCCAUUAUAACUCCAAAAUUAAGCGCGCUCAUGAUAGAGUAGUACUAGGAUGGGUGACUUCUCGGGAAUUCCUAGUGUUUUACAUGUC
Picea glauca (white spruce) is the source of this 121-nucleotide non-coding RNA. NCBI's taxonomy places the organism in Eukaryota, Viridiplantae, Streptophyta, Pinopsida, Pinales, Pinaceae. The record is from Rfam.